CAGUAGCCACGGGAAUACGAAGGGGGCUAGCGUUGUUCGGAAUCACUGGGCGUAAAGGGUGCGUAGGCGGAUUCUUAAGUCAGGGGUGAAAUCCCGAGGCUCAACCUCGGAACUGCCUUUGAUACUGGGGAUCUUGAGUCCGGAAGAGGUGAGUGGAACUGCGAGUGUAGAGGUGAAAUUCGUAGAUAUUCGCAAGAACACCGGUGGCGAAGGCGGCUCACUGGUCCGGAACUGACGCUGAGGCACGACAGCGUGGGGAGCAAACAGGAUUAGAUACCCCAGUAGUCCCUGUCUCUUAUAC
Molecule: ribosomal RNA, 301 nt
Filed under: uncultured bacterium
Lineage: Bacteria
Description: partial 16S ribosomal RNA
Rfam family: Bacterial small subunit ribosomal RNA
Source: RNAcentral